GUUUGGGAAGAGGCAAAAACGCAUGCAGAUGAAAUUCACCAGACAGACGGCAGCUAUCCAAUUGGAUCUGAGGCAGUGCCUGACCAAGACCCGCUAUGGGAUUAUAAUUCCUCGGCUGGUAUUUUAGCCAGAGACAGGUUUGUUACAUGCCUUCUAGCUGGUCUCAGAAAGGCAGUUUUAAAGCCAAUAAAUUUUGAAAAACUCCAAGAGGUUGUCCAGGAAAAACAGGAAAAUCCAUCUCAGUUUUUACAACGCCUCACGAAGGCUUUGUUGCAAUUCACUAAUCUAGAUCCUGACAAUCCGGAAGCUUCUCAGGUGGACCCCAGAGUUUGGGACGUCCAGAACCCCUCUGUUGCUAAACAUCAUUCUCCCGUUGUCAUCCAGUUACUGGACCCUACCAGGACCUUGCUCUAUCAAGCUCCGGAGGACAUCGGGACCACCCACCUUGUCCCCAAUUCCAGAACAUGAGACUCCACUCCGGCAGCCGAGCUCGACCUCAUUGGAUUAGACAUGGGUUUCUUGUCCUACCCCUGCUGUUCUUCAUUUCCAUCCAGGGCAGUCCUUACAUUUGGAGAUUCGAGGUUCAAGAAACCCCCACAGAUAACAAACAGUCUUUCCAAAUAGGGUCAGGAAACUGCUCCAUAGCCGGAUGUCAGGUACCGAUCCAAAUCGCGAUCAUCCCUGUAUCUGUUAUCCCAUCUAAGUAUUAUGAUCUCUAUACUUGCUUUCUCUUUGACCAGACAGAAGAUUACUGUAAAAAAUGGCCAGACGAAUAUGGGGGCUGCCCAUAUUGGUCUUGUCAGAUACAUAUGCUAGGAUCACGGGUCAAUCAUUUCUUCUUUCAACACCGCAAGACGCUUUUCUUCCACAUACAAGACCCGUGGGAUUCCAGGUGGGAAACAGGAGUCGUUGGUAAGCUCUAUCGUAAAAACCAGCCCAGUUCCCCAAUAAGUACCAUCCAUAUUCAGAGAAAGUAUAUCUCAAUCGCCCAACCCCUAGAUAUUGGAAAAGUGGGGGAGAUAAUUAAACACUCCUCUAAGGUCCUUGAUUCUUUAACAGCACCCCUCAUAAAUGGCACUAACUUGCCAUUUCGCCUGUUGCUUCAAACUUUGACCUCAGCAUACCAACUCCUUAAUGUCACCAGGCCUGGUCGCUUUAAAGAUUGCUGGUUAUGUGUACCCCCAGGGACUGACUCAAAACUGUCACU
Molecule: long non-coding RNA, 1207 nt
Organism: Apodemus sylvaticus (European woodmouse)
Lineage: Eukaryota; Metazoa; Chordata; Mammalia; Rodentia; Muridae
Exons: 3
Source: RefSeq, a predicted model, not a curated record